UACGUAGGGAGCGAGCGUUAAUCGGAAUUACUGGGCGUAAAGCGUGCGCAGGCGGUUUUGUAAGACAGAGGUGAAAUCCCCGGGCUCAACCUGGGAACUGCCUUUGUGACUGCAUGACUAGAGUACGGCAGAGGGGGAUGGAAUUCCGCGUGUAGCAGUGAAAUGCGUAGAUAUGCGGAGGAACACCGAUGGCGACGGCAAUCCCCUGGGCCUGUACUGACGCUCAUGCACGAAAGCGUGGGGAGCAAACAGG
This 253-nucleotide ribosomal RNA is filed under the name uncultured bacterium. Its description in RNAcentral is "partial 16S ribosomal RNA". It matches the Rfam family "Bacterial small subunit ribosomal RNA", at positions 524 to 776 of the family's 1533-position model. The record is from RNAcentral.